CGUAGGCGGCUUGACAAGUCAAAGGUGAAAUCCCUCGGCUCAACUGAGGAACUGCCUUUGAAACUGUCUGGCUUGAGGCCGGGGAGGGGGUAGCGGAAUUCCCAGUGUAGCGGUGAAAUGCGUAGAUAUUGGGAGGAACACCAGUGGCGAAGGCGGCUACCUGGACCGGUUCUGACGCUGAUGCGCGAAAGCGUGGGUAGCAAACA
Molecule: ribosomal RNA, 206 nt
Filed under: uncultured bacterium
Lineage: Bacteria
Description: partial 16S ribosomal RNA
Rfam family: Bacterial small subunit ribosomal RNA
Source: RNAcentral